RNAcentral lists this non-coding RNA (116 nucleotides) under Thalassiosira rotula. Lineage: Eukaryota; Bacillariophyta; Thalassiosirophyceae; Thalassiosirales; Thalassiosiraceae. The record is from RNAcentral.
GGAAAUCUGAAUCCACAAAAACACGAAAAAAACAAGAAAACACGAAAUCAAAAGUAAUUAAGUUCCUAGGUCUUUGCUACUGUCCUAUGGUUAUUGUUGUCCCUUACCCUCCUAAA